RNAcentral lists this long non-coding RNA (411 nucleotides) under Homo sapiens (human). RNAcentral describes it as "HSALNT0310106". The record is from RNAcentral. Lineage: Eukaryota; Metazoa; Chordata; Mammalia; Primates; Hominidae.
CUUUUAGGACUCACAUCCUUGGAUCCCAGACUCUUUGAUGACAGGAAGGCCAAACUAUCUCAAAUAUGAUUUUGGUUCUAACAACCAACCCUCAUGGCCUAUUCUUGGAGAACUUCCAUCAGGGUACUUGAGCCAACUUGUACUCACAAAUGCCCAAGAAGUGCCUGGAUGACUGUGAUGGUUAAUUUUCUGUGUGCCGAAGGCAAAGGGAAUACAGAUUUUGUAGUGGAAGAAAUCCUAGGGCCCAGGAGCUGCAAUGGGCCAUUCUCAUCUGAAGGAAUUGCCUCAGCUUGUUAGAGGACUGGCAUGAAAGGAACAAUCGUGAUAGUGGGCAUAACACAUAAACCCUCUGGGACUCCCUUUGGUCAUCCACAAAUGGCAGUAAAGAGAUGAGCGCCUCCUUGUUCUCAC